This 460-nucleotide ribosomal RNA is filed under the name uncultured bacterium. RNAcentral's name for it is "partial 16S ribosomal RNA". It matches the Rfam family "Bacterial small subunit ribosomal RNA", at positions 338 to 795 of the family's 1533-position model. The record is from RNAcentral.
CCUACGGGAGGCAGCAGUGAGGCAUAUUGGUCAAUGGCCGUAACCCUGAACCAGCCAAGUCGCGUGAAGGAAGAAGGAUCUAUGUAUUGUAAGCUUCUUUUAUAGGGGAAUAAAGGUAUCCACGUGUGGAUAUUUGCAUGUACCCUAUGACUAAGCAUCGGCUAACUCCGUGCCAGCAGCCGCGGUAAUACGGAGGAUGCGAGCGUUAUCCGGAUUUAUUGGGUUUAAAGGGUGCGUAGGGUGUUUGUUAAGUCAGCGGUGAAAGUUUGUGGCUCAACCAUAAGAUUGCCGUUGAAACUGGAAGGCUGGAGUGUGUGUGAGGUAGGCGGAAUGCGUGGUGUAGCGGGGAAAUGCAUAGAUAUCACGCAGAACUCCGAUUGCGAAGGCAGCUUACUAAGCCAUAACUGACACUGAAGCACGAAAGCGUGGGGAGCAAACAGGAUUAGAUACCCGGGUAGUC